ACCAGCCUCUGGUUCUGAGGUCUUCCAAGGUCACUUCUGAUUGCUUUGGAUGGGACACAAUGGCAUAAGCAUGACCUCCCAUCUAGAUUAUAUUUGUUAUGACCUGUCUUUUAUGUCUUUGAUCUAAUUAGGGCUAUUGUGAUAUCCCAUUAUUUGUAAAGAGUCUGUAUUUGUAAGAGACAUUCUGAUCUUUGUUCUUACUUUCAGUUCUGUUCUUUCACUUUCAGCAUUGCUGAGUCAAAAGGAUGCCUAAAUCUCCUCCUAAGUUACCCUGGGUCUUAAAAUCUCCCUAGUGUGCCUGCAAGGGCAGAUGUGGGCUCAGCAGAAGAGGAGACAGUCUCCAAGACCAAGUGUAGAACCUGGUGGUGCUGAGUGUGGUGCUCCAGAACCAGCUCCCCCUGAUGCUUUCCAGUGAAGGAAAUCCUACCCAUUUCUGAGAGUGAGGAUGAGGAGCUUGUUUGCUCUAAGAGAGGAAGAAAGGAGCAGAGACUACCUGUGACUUGAUGCUGAUCAUCUCCCCUCCUGGCUUUGGUGGCUCAGCAAAGCCUGAAAAAUCCUGGCAUGCAAUUCACUCCUAACUUUCAGUGUGCUGAAAUCCGAGAUGAUGUUUUCAUGGUGCUUCCAAACCAAGAUCUUGUUCCAGCCCAUCCUUUCAAUCUGUGUUUUGAAACCCCUCUUAAUCCACUUCCCAUCCUUCCCUCAUGGAACUAGCAGCACAGCUUGAUCCUCAGAGCAGCUAAAUUUUCCAUCCAGAGAGCUGUGAUCAUUUCAUGGAGAGACAGAAGGCAGCAGAGAUAAAUGUCAGUGGCAACAUGUGGCUGUAAAAUGUGAGCAGCAAAAGCAAAAUUCACCCAAAGCCUGUGAGAAUACGUGUCACCUCCUCCUUGUUCACCUGCCAGGGACAUGGAAAAGCAGCUGCAAUUCAGGGAGGCAGCACGAGCUGUGGGAUUUGAAAUCACACCCUGGGCUUUGGAGCCAAAUCUCUGCAACUACAAACUCCAACAAAGUGUGUGAGAGCUGUGAGCAGGAAUCACCCUGGCCACACAACCCCACUCCUUCCAGAAACACCACAACUGCUGCCAGGGCCCUGGGGACUUCUGCAGAUGUCCUCUGGAGAACUGGACAAGCUGGCAUUGCCUGGAAAGGGAAGAAAGCUUAUCCUACUAGAAAACAGAUCAAAGCUACCCUGAGACACAGCAGUGGAAAACAUUGGAGGAGGAAAUUGCAGAAAACUCAUUCUAACCUUUGGAUAAGACUCAGCAGGAUAAAUUUUUCCUGUUCUUCAGACUUCUCUUUGCAAUGGUUCUGGAGGGGUUGUCACUGUGGGUGUUGUGCCUGUCACCAGGUGGGAGGGAAUGGAUGAGAAACAAAUGAUCAAUGAGAAGCAAUGAUCAAUGUUCAGUGAGAAGCAAUGAUCAAUGUUCAGUGAUCCUCCAUCCUGCUGGGCUUGGGUACUCACGUGCUGGAUGCUCUUCUCCCAUCCAACAUGUUUGGAAAAAACCAGUUUUUCCUUUUCCAGAAUUCCUGGAUAACUCAUUCCUACUCCACACUUGUUUGUCCCUUUGUGUACCCUUGUUUUAUUUUUAUACUCUGGAGAAGUAGAUGUUUGGAGAGAGAGCUGGUGGGUCUGAAGUGCUGCAUCAUCUCAUCUCAUCUCAUCUCAUCUCAUCUCAUCUCAUCUCAUCUCAUCUCAUCUCAUCUCACCUCCAAAGGAUUUUCUGUCUCAGGAGAGUUUUCCUUUCCAUCCUCUUCUCACCAGCCAGAUUCUUUUUCUGGGAAUUGCCUUCCUGAAUCUGCCAAUCCCCUUUUGCCAUAUCUGCUGUAUUCCCUGGCUGCAAAAAGAGAGUUUUCCUGAAUUGUCUUCCUGAAUUUUCCUGACUUGUCUUCCUGAAUCUCCCAAUCCCUUUUUUCCCUAUCUGCUGUAUUCCCUGGCUGCAAAAACAGAAUUUUCAAGCUGCUUGCCACAGUCAGGAUUGACAAACCCUUGUCAGGAAAUCGCGGGACAUGAAAGGUCUGCUGAGAAGGCAGAUUGUCAUUACAGACCAAAAUAUUCCCAUUGAGGACUUUGGCAGUUAAAAACAUGUAGUUUAAUGGCUCUAAGAGUUAAUUACUGCACU
Molecule: non-coding RNA, 2117 nt
Organism: Zonotrichia albicollis (white-throated sparrow)
Lineage: Eukaryota; Metazoa; Chordata; Aves; Passeriformes; Passerellidae
Source: RefSeq, a predicted model, not a curated record